GGCCCCGGGCGCUCACUAGUCUACGCGAUACCUGUGCCCCGGAGGCUCGAGGCCAGCCGCUCAGGCACCCUUCCGGGCGGCGCUGGAGUCUGCUCUCCUCCAGGCUGGCCGCCCGCCGCCUCUCCAGCCCUAACCCUAACCCCAGCCCCCCACGGACUCCCGCACCCCAACCCCGGAGCCCCCCGCAGCCUAGCCGCAGCUCCCCCAGCCCCCGCACCCUAACCCCAAAGCCUCCAGCGCCCCACGGACCCUUGCACGCCUAACCCCAGAGCGCCCUGUACCCCUAACCCCAGGUCCCCAGCCCCCUGCACCCUUGCCCCAGAGCCCCCAGCCCCCCGCACCUUAACCCCAGGUCCCGCAGCUCCCCGCACACUUAACCUCAGGUCCCCCAUUCCCCCGCACCCCUAACCCAGGUCCUCCAGCCCUCCACACCCCUGGCCCAGAGCCCCCAGCCCGCCUCACCCUAACCCCAGGUCCCCCAGCCUCCCACACCUUAACCCAGGUCCUCCAGCCCCCACACCCUACACCCCAGCAUCCCCACCCUAAUCUCAGAGCUCCCCACACCCCUAACCCCAGGUCCCCAGCCCCCCUUAACCCCAGAGUCCCCAGCACCCCACACCCGAACCCCAGGUCCCCCAGCCCCCUGCACCCUAACUCCAGAACCCCCAGCCUCCCACACCUUAAGCCCAGGUCCCCCAGCACCUCGCACCCUAAGCCCUACCCACCCCCGCCCCACCCCAUCCCUGUUUCAGGGCUCACUUGGUUCUGGCCCAAGUGGUCCUGGCCAUCGUGCUCCUGCUGUCCUGGGGAGCAGGGUCUGGCAGGAUCAGGUGCAGAAGGGCCCGGAUGUGUGAAGCACAUUGUGUGCACUUUGUGAAGCAGCGGCCGGAGAAGAUGAGAGAGAAGGAGGAUAUUUUAAGGGGUUUCGGUUGCAGAAGUCCAGCCUACUUGGGGUGGCAGUUUGCCCCGCUGAUGGAUCCCAGCAUCUCCCACCCCCGCCGUGGUUCCUCCUUCACCUCUUUGAGCCCCGGGAGGAUGCUCUUCUGGUCAGGGCAGACCCCAGGCCGGAGUCCGCGGAGCCACUUGCCGGUAACUGGUCCUAGGAGCCUGUUGGACGCCCAGAGGCUGGUCAGCAUAGAAGCAGUAGAUGGCAUUCAUGGAGGCAGUGCCUGCCCACUGUCGCUCUGGCUCCACUUUUCAGCUGUGGGCAAAGGCGUCAGCCUCUCUGGACCUCAGUCUCCUCAUCUGUAGAGUGGUGACAAUAACGCCCAGGUGUCAACUUUGCCCCCUGUGUGUGAGGCCAGGAGCCGUUGCUGAGUGAGCCUCCAGGGUGGCUGACCCCUGUGCUGGGCACGGCUGACCUGUGUUGCCAAGAGGGUGAGGCAGAUGUGGUCACAUGAUGCCGCAGGCUCGGCCACAAACUGCUCUGCAGCCCCAUCUUGUUGUCCCUUGGGUCACUCACUAGGAAAGCUAAAUGAUUGGAGACCAGCUGUCUGCAAGCGCAGGAGGGAGGAACCAGCCCUGCCUGCCUUGGCAUCCAGGACAUCCAGCCUCCAGGAUGUGAGGGAACACGCUUCUGUGACCUGAGCCACGGUCCGUGGUGCUCCGUCACGGCAACCCUGGUGAACUGACACACGUGUUGUUACUACGUUAAGCCGUCCUGUUCCAGGACCCCUUGUCGGGCAGCAGGUGACCAGCACAGCUAUGAGCAGUGGUACUGAGUCAUGAGCACCAGGCCACACUGAGUCCUUCCUGUAGUUUGUCUCCCGAGAGCAUUGGUCCCCACAGCCUGGGUGCGGGCGACGCUGCUGUCCCCAUCUCGUGGCAUCUCAGGUACUAGCACUUAGGUCCAGCCGGGCUGGAAGGAGGGACAGGCCUUAGGGUCUCUGGGCCAUGCUGGCCUGAGUGCAAACAAAAGCAUUCGGCUCCCUGGCGGGGGCGCGGACCACAGCAGCAGAGACGGAUGGAUGGACAGGUCCUCUGUACUCUCAGCAGGCCCACCUGCUUGGGGAGAAGGAAUGCCACCUCUUCUGCUCAUCCUGCCCCUGGAGCUGAAGCCCUUAAGGGCAGAGAGCCCUGUAUCCUGCCGUGUCCCUGGUGACUGACACACAGCAGGGCCCAGUAUAGACUGGACUGCUUGCCCCGCUGAUUCCAGAGCCCGGCCUGGGUCGUGCCUUUAGAAUCAGAAGCCUGCAGACCUGGGGACUGCUGAGGGCAUUGGCCCACCCAGCUUCUGUCUGACCCCCACGCACACAGCCUGUGCGGGCGGGGGGGGGGCAGGGGGUCGAGGGGCGGACAGCAGCAGAGGGAAGUGGACUGGGCUAGGCUCUGGGAGCGCACUCAGGCCACACUCAGGGACGUUGUGAGUGACCCCGGGGGGGGCUGCCCAGGGCUGCUGAGAGAUGGUUUAUAGGCUACAGACUUGCCUAGAUUUCACCAGUGCCCCAGCCCCGGGGCUCCGGGUUGGAUAAACUACUCAAUCUUCCUAGGUGGUGCGGCCCCAGUGGCCGUUAGAGGGUUUAAUGAUGUGCAGCCCUCGGCCAAGGCCAUGUGGAAUCCGUGCUCAGUAACCGCCGCCACCGCUGGGACGCACAGAAACACUCGUAAACAAGCCAGAGGCAUAGGUCGCAGGCGGAGACCUGGCCUUAGGCGGUGGCGGUGGCGAGGAGGUGGCCGCACUGCCAGCUUCCAGGCGGCCCCGCCCUCCUCCUGGCAGCAGGCUUUCUGCCACCUCACGGAUGUGCCCUCCUGAAACCCAGGCCACGAAGGGGACACAGGAGGCUCGCUUUCGGGGGUUCAGCCCAUGCCUCCCGGGCCCUGGCUGUAUUUUCUCCUGUGCUAAUUUCACAGUGACGUGGCUCCUACUCCUGCUGAUUGAACAGUCUGCACUGACAGGGGCGAAGAUUUGCAGUGGAGCUUAUCACCGCCCCAGAGCAUGGGCGGGGUGGCUGGCGGGGGCGCCGGGGAGGCGGCUGUAUUUAUGGCAUGCUGGGAAGACAAACAUACGCAUUUAUAUGUCACUUGUUGCAAUAUAAAUGCUAACUUGUACUCCUUUCAAAACUUUUAAUGAAUUGUAUACAUUCCGAGAGAUUUAUAGGGUGAACGGAAUGGCUCAAAAUGUUACUUUUAACAUAUUUGUCACUUUGGCAACAGCGCCCAAAAAAAAAAAAAAAUCUGGAAGAUAUUGCAUUCAGAAAUAAAUCAUAAACAGGCGCAUCCUAAAAGAGGUUUAUUCGGGUCGUUAAUGGUUGAUGGGCCCCCCAGUGCAGGAUCUAAAGUUAAAUUAUGCAAAAUCAAAAACAAACCUUAUAAUACUUAAUCAGACAUGCAUAAAACUGGCAGGUCCAAUAAAUUCUCCCAAUUAACUUGCUUCAGAUUGUGAUUGCAUUCGCUAAUUUAAUCAGCCCCGGAAUAAUCUGGCAGCCGGGAGCUGAUGAGUGAGUGUGGGCCCGUGCCGUGGGAGGGGGCAGAGCGACGGGCAAGAGCACCUAGGUCAGGGCCACUGAGAAAGGUGCUGUUUUCCACAGGGGCAGCGAUUUCCCCACUUCCCCUCUCCCCAGGCGGGGCUGGCAGCCAGGCACUUGGCUCACAUCCCACCUGGGCAUGCUGUCCUGGGAAGCAGGCAGCGUCCACCUGGGUCAUCUGGAGGAUGGACCUGGACAUUGUCAUCUGGGAUGAAUCCCACGUAGGUUUUGCUCAGCUCCAGAUCCCUCGGCUCUCCUCAGCUGUGGACACCAGUCCCCUUCCAGAACGUGCUGGGGAUGGUUCUGUCCCCCCUGGAGCCUGCCCAUUCUGACCUCCGAUUCUCGAUUAAAGGAGGGUUUUGACGGCCACCUGGGUGGCUCAGUCAGUUAAGCAUCCGACUCUUGGUUUCAGCUCAAGUCCUGAUCUCAGAUUGGGGGAUUGAGCCCCAUGUCUGUGACCAGCUCAGAGUCUGCUUGAGAUUCUCUCUCCCUCUCCCCUGCCCCUCCCUCCUGCUCUCUCUCUCUAAAAUAAAUAAAUCUUUAGAAAUAAUAAAUGAGGGGCACCUGGGUGGCUCAGCAGUGGAGUGGCUGCCUUCCGCUCAGGUCAUGAUCCCGGAGUCCUGGGAUCGAGUCCCACAUCGGGCUCCUUGCAUGGAGCCUGCUUCUCCCUCUGCCUGUGUCUCUGCCUCUCUCUCUCUCUCUCUCUCUGUGUGUCUCUAAUGAAUAAAUAAAUAAAAUCUUAAAUGAAUGAAUGAGGGUUUUGACUCCAGUGUGCUUUAUCCUUCCUUUCCGGAGGGUGGGGCGGGCAGUGACCGGCACCAGGGCCUGCAGGGGGAGGCAGGUGUCUCAUCUCUGGGCCUAGGCCCCCGCUGAACUCACAGAGCUCACUCUGCUCUCCGCCAGGCAAAAUGUUUUAUUUCAUUUUAUUUUAUUGUCAAAACAGGGUUUACAUUGCACGCCUGAGUUUGCAUUCUGUGCUCCCCCCCAACAUGACCUUAUAUUGAACAUAUUUCUACACCAACGAACGCUCUUCAUAAUCCGGCAUGUAAGGGCCACGUGGCGUUUUGGUGCCCGAUGCUCCAUCAUCUACCACAUCAGUUCCUCUCUGGUCAGACAUGUGUGUUGGCGCCAAUUUUUUGUGAUUAUAGAUAAUCCUGUGAUGAACAUCCCGGUGUGUAAAUCUGAGUGCACACACAUGUUUCUCCUGGGUGGACGGCUGCUGCGGGCUGACCCUUCCAGGCUCCCUGUAGUGGCCGUGGUGGCCCCAUCCC
This 4735-nucleotide long non-coding RNA is filed under the name Canis lupus familiaris (dog). RNAcentral's name for it is "lncRNA (ENSCAFG00040017887.1)". The record is from RNAcentral. Lineage: Eukaryota; Metazoa; Chordata; Mammalia; Carnivora; Canidae.